Molecule: non-coding RNA, 104 nt
Organism: Acanthosepion pharaonis
Lineage: Eukaryota; Metazoa; Mollusca; Cephalopoda; Sepiida; Sepiidae
Source: the annotation of a GenBank genome assembly
GCCAUACCAAGUUUAAACAUCGAUUCUCGUACGAUCACCGAAGUUAAGCAACGUCGAGCCUGGUUAGUACCUAGAAGGAUGAACGCUUGAAAAUAACAGGUGCU